UUGCACGCUGGCGGCCGGCUUAACACAUGCAAGUCGAGCGGGGAAAGGUAGCUUGCUCCCUGACCUAGCGGCGGACGGGUGAGUAAUGCUUAGGAAUCUGCCUAUUAGUGGGGGACAACAUCUCGAAAGGGAUGCUAAUACCGCAUACGUCCUACGGGAGAAAGCAGGGGACCUUCGGGCCUUGCGCUAAUAGAUGAGCCUAAGUCGGAUUAGCUAGUUGGUGGGGUAAAGGCCUACCAAGGCGACGAUCUGUAGCGGGUCUGAGAGGAUGAUCCGCCACACUGGAACUGAGACACGGCCCAGACUCCUACGGGAGGCAGCAGUGGGGAAUAUUGGACAAUGGGGGGAACCCUGAUCCAGCCAUGCCGCGUGUGGGAAGAAGGCCUUUUGGUUGUAAAGCACUUUAAGCGAGGAGGAGGCUACCGAGAUUAAUACUCUUGGAUAGUGGACGUUACUCGCAGAAUAAGCACCGGCUAACUCUGUG
RNAcentral lists this ribosomal RNA (484 nucleotides) under uncultured bacterium. Its description in RNAcentral is "partial 16S ribosomal RNA". It matches the Rfam family "Bacterial small subunit ribosomal RNA", at positions 30 to 507 of the family's 1533-position model. The record is from RNAcentral.